RNAcentral lists this ribosomal RNA (494 nucleotides) under uncultured Lachnospiraceae bacterium. Its description in RNAcentral is "bacterial SSU rRNA". It matches the Rfam family "Bacterial small subunit ribosomal RNA", at positions 887 to 1382 of the family's 1533-position model. Lineage: Bacteria; Bacillati; Bacillota; Clostridia; Lachnospirales; Lachnospiraceae. The record is from RNAcentral.
GCCCGCUCAGAAACUUAAAGGAAUUGACGGGGGCCCGCACAAGCAGCGGAGCAUGUGGUUUAAUUCGAAGCAACGCGAAGAACCUUACCAAGACUUGACAUCCCCUGACAGCUGUUGAAAGGCAGUGUCUCUUCGGAGCAGGGAGACAGGUGGUGCAUGGUUGUCGUCAGCUCGUGUCGUGAGAUGUUGGGUUAAGUCCCGCAACGAGCGCAACCCUUAUCCUUAGUUACCAGCACGUAAAGGUGGGGACUCUAGGGAGACCGCCGGGGACGACUCGGAGGAAGGUGGGGACGACGUCAAAUCAUCAUGCCCCUUAUGUCUUGGGCUACACACGUGCUACAAUGGCCGCAACAGAGGGAAGCGAGAGCGCAAGCUGGAGCAAAACCCUAAAAAGCGGUCCCAGUUCGGAUUGUGGGCUGCAACCCGCCCACAUGAAGUCGGAGUUGCUAGUAAUCGCGAAUCAGCAUGUCGCGGUGAAUGCGUUCCCGAGCCUU